This 349-nucleotide unclassified non-coding RNA is filed under the name soil metagenome. RNAcentral describes it as "partial contains 5.8S ribosomal RNA, internal transcribed spacer 2, and large subunit ribosomal RNA". The stretch from base 1 to 119 matches the Rfam family "5.8S ribosomal RNA", at positions 35 to 154 of the family's 154-position model. The record is from RNAcentral.
GAUGAAGAACGUAGCGAAAUGCGAUAAGUAAUGCGAAUUGCAGAAUCCGUGAGUCAUCGAAUCUUUGAACGCACAUUGCGCCCUCUGGUAUUCCGGAGGGCAUGCCUGUUCGAGCGUCAUUAUCACCCCUCAAGCCCGGCUUGUUGUUGGAUGCAGCGCUUAUCCCGCUCCUCCCAAAGAUAAUGACGGCGUCUGCGACGACUCCUGUACACUGAGCUUUCGGGCACGUACACGGCUAGAAGUCCAGACCCGGUCGCCGUCGCCCCCGCGGGGACACCCAUUACCACAAGGUUGACCUCGGAUCAGGUAGGAAUACCCGCUGAACUUAAGCAUAUCAAUAAGCGGAGGA